UGCCUUCCCGCGCGCAAA
RNAcentral lists this small nuclear RNA (18 nucleotides) under Arabidopsis thaliana (thale cress). Its description in RNAcentral is "snRNA_11608". Lineage: Eukaryota; Viridiplantae; Streptophyta; Magnoliopsida; Brassicales; Brassicaceae. The record is from RNAcentral.